GUGUGUGUGUGUUAGCAGAAUAUUUGUCCCAUGAUGUCAGUGUGAGGAGGACGAACAGUGAACCACACAUGUUGGUCUUUCUGUAGCUGUGAGGACAUCGACAUGAAGCGUUCCCCUAACCUAAACCCGAUUCUAACCUGGACCCUGAAACCAGGUCUGAACCCUGAAGGUGUGAAGACCGGACAAAAUAUUCCUCACUUUCCGAAAUGUCCUCACACCCGAGGUCUAAAACUAAAACUGGUCCUCACACAGACGGACUACCCCACCCCCCCAGCCGGGUUAGUAGGAAACUCAAACCGAGAGCAGCGUUGAUCAGCUCGGAGGAAAAGUAAAGUUGGAGGAAGUUUAACAGUAAAGGAGUCGGUGAAAGUGCGUGGAAAGUAAAAACAGACCGAAACAACGGACGACAGGGAAACAGGCUGAGACUUGGAGCUUUAUUGUGAAAUCCUAUUCUCUCAUCCCUUCUAGUUUCACCACAGAGCAGAACAUUUCCCAGUUUGCUCCACUGCUUUAUUCUUUUUAACUCUAUCUCAGACCAUCGUUGCACAGACGACUCUCAGCCCGACCCUCUGCGGGUCGUUUCGGGGGUUUGCCGAAAACUCCGAUGCUGCCUCAGACGCCCGUUAAACCAGAACUGUGGGUCGUAAUAAGCUGCAGCCCAGACGAGCCGUGGGGUCUUUUUUCAUGGGGGGGCCCUCUCCGUCAUUGGGUGUUUCUGCCGCGGUAAGGCUAGGCUCUCCCGUGUUUUCCCAUGGUUCCCACGGUGUCUUCAUGUUUGUUCCCAGUUUGUGUCUUUACCUGUCUGAGUGUGAGUGUUCGUCUUGCUGGGCGUGGUGAUCCGGUCCUCCUCCUACGCACCUGAAGCUCAUCCCGUGAUCGGCUCCUGCAGUACGAGAUCCUUCGCUCCAGUCCUCGCCAGAUCCUUCAGUUUGCCGAAGUGGUUCUGACGUUUGGGCCGAACUCUGGCUUCUGGAAGUUUAAGUUUCCCGGUGUUUGCCUGAAGCCUGCCUGAUCAGUUUUUGCCUUUUUCUAGGUCCAUUGUCCCGUGCUGCUCCAGUCUUCUCGCCUCGUCGGGUCCCUCGUCCGUCUGCCCGUCAGCUCCGCAACCACUCCGGCUUUCAGUAAAUCUACCUUUUAGAACUUUGAACAUCUCGUGUCUGACUUCUGCUCCACUGAUGGUCGGAAUCAUCGACGUUUAGGGAACGGCCCUGAACGUUUACUGGGUGAUCGCUGAUCUGCUGAUCAGGACUUGAUAAACAAAACAACUUAAGACUGUUCCUCGUCACGUCCAAGGUGCAGAAUUUUGAACAUGUUAAGUUGCAUGAAAUUUAGUUGUGUUCAAGCUCCUUCUUGACUUUGGAAAUAGCAGUUUGACAAAAUAAUGUUAGCGCUGUUCCCAUUUACUGACUUUAUAGUCUUCGAACCUCGACUCAACUCAAAGACCUUCAAGUUAAAGCGUACGAAUCCUGACAGAAACAAAGAAGGUCAGAGGAAGUGCCGCAGAAACAGAAACAGAAACAGAAACAGAGAAGGAAACAGAGAAGGAAACUACGACAGAGAAUAGAAGAAAAGAAAUUAGAGCAGAAGAUAAAAGCGUUGGUGAGGCUGCAGUGUGACGAUCAUCCUCCUCCUGAUCUGUGAUCAGCUGAGAGUUCAUCAGACCUGAAAACAACGACAGGACUGUUUCUGUCAGACAGAGAACGCAGCACUCAGACGGACGGACGCACGGCGGCCCGGAGGUCUCAGACAGAAAGAGUCACAUGGUGACAGUUUAAUCAGCUGAGGGAGGAAGAAGAGAAACCUUUAUUUAAACACAGUCAGACAGUCCAGGUACGGUCGGGUCCGUAGGUCACACCUGUAGUCCUGUCCUUUAGGUCACAUGGCUGACAGGUAACUCUUCAUCAGAGCUGCAUGGGUCCAGGCUGGAUCCGGGCUUCACCGCACCCACAGACUCGCGGACUUGGACCCGAGGUCUGUCCAAAUCCACGAUUCAUCAAGCCCCCGAGGGGCUGCAAGUGGACUUUCCGUGGACUUCCAGAGUCCACUUAGGAUGCCGACUUCACCAGACGUCACGCGGGGAACUAUCCAUAAUCCACAGGGAUACGGAUGUGACGCUGUAUCUCCUAUAACGACUCUUGACCAGCAGACCUGCACACCUCAUGCGGAAGAACUGUUCAGUUACACACGUCGAAAGGAGUUUCGGGGUCAGAAGUUCAGGUUCAUCUCCAUGGAAACACAUCAGGUCUUCAGGUCCCGUCUCGUUUCGUCGUCCCCCCGUGGUCUGGCAGACUUGACCUGACCUGACAGAAAUAACCGAUCAGCUCUAUGAGUCCGGACUGAGACCGAGCUCGAGCUCACACGUGUUUUUAUUACAACUCUGCUGGUGUUUUAUGGUGCUUCCUGUGUAGCAGCAGAGUUUGAUGGAACGCUGCCGCACCGACCCAGACAAACUGAACCUGCGUCCUCGCUCCGUUUGUCCGACUCGGUCUCAUUUUCUGAAACAAGACAAAUAUAUUCUACUGAUCCACGAAUGAGGAGAAAGAGAGAGAGUAGGUCAGAGUGAUAGAGAGACAAUUAGCCACAGUAGGUCAGCAGAGAGAGAGCGGGAGCAGCUCCACAAUGAGCUCUUUUCAUUCAGACGUGUAAAGGAAAAACUUUCCGUCUGGUUCACCGUUAACCGCCUCUCCUGUUCCAACACAACGAAGACUUUCACAUCUCUGCUCACAUGGAAAAUCUAAACCAGCACACCUUCAACUGGGCUGGUUUUACUUUUCCAUCAGAGUCCUCGGGGACCUGAGCAGACUCUGCUGGAUCACUUCGAAAACCAGAGACAAUAAGCUUCAUUUUCUUGUGUCUUUUGCAGCUUGUUACUGGUUCAAGUGAAGAAGACGACACAAGUACUGGAUCUAUUUCAGCCUCUUCAGCAGCAUCGGGACUCGCUGGAAGCACAAACGUCACUAAUCACAGCUCCUGAGAGCUUCUAGUUUUAUGUGAUAAAACGGAGUUUCUUUUUUAAUUCAUUUAACUGUCUGUGUGUGGAGUCAUCUUUAAUCUCAGUCUGGUUAAAGGAACAGCUCAACAUGCUGAGGAAUACUUUUAUUCAGAGGCGUCCAGGUGGAUCUUAGUCUCUUGCCUGUGUGUUCAGUACAGAGCUGGAGUCAGGACAUGGUUAGCUUAGCUUAGCAUAAAGAGCAUUUGUAGUUUUUGGCGUUUUUUCUUAUAAUGGACUAAAACUGCCCAGAAAUAUCCGACAUGCAGCUACUGUGGAUUCCUUCAAGAGAAGACCGAGCUUUUUAACGCUGCCUCUACGUAGACUCUUCAGAUUAGUUUCAUUGCAUUUUAUUGUUGGUGUGAAAAUUCUUAUUUUGUUGCUUUAGUUUUACGUAAAGUACUUUGAGCUGCGUCUCUGGAGGGAUUUACACAAAUAAUGGCUAUUACUCUUACAGGACUAUUUCUUGACAGACAACAGUGUAUCCAUCCGCCCAGUGCUCUUGUGCAGUGUUAUAACACACUGCUGCCAGAUUCAGUUGGUGGGCUCAGGUUUUGGUUCUGGUCUUCGUACAGGCCCGACGGUUAACUCAGAUCGGUCGAAUAGGCUGAAGGUUAAAUCCACACUAACAGACACGGGGGUCAGAGUCCAGCAGCCACACGGUGCUACGAGCGAGCCCGUCGAGCCGCUCAGACGCUGCUCUGACUCACUUCCUCUUCCUCACAAUGUCCGCAGGAAAAAACGCUCUCAGUGCCGACCGAGGACUUCAGAAUCUGGGAAAGGCUUUGUGCUAAGCUAAGCUAACUACAUCCUGGACCAGUCUCUGUUCUGGACCCAGAGGUGAAACUUCUGAUCUGACACAGUUUGAGUUGAGGUCCAGAAGAAACUAAAACCAUCUAAAGACCAAAAUGCAAACUACCACUACAAAGACGCUGAAGACCUGAAACGGCACCGGUGGUACCCUGAAUCCUGCGAACCGUCAGAUUCUGUGACAGGCUCCGGAUCUUAAAUAUGGUCUCAGGUGGAUCUCUUUCGCCUGAACCUAGACCCUGAUGGGAACCAGACUUCAACACAACACAUUGCGUCAAGACUAAAAUUUAACAUCGGGUCACAGAAUCUGACGGGUCGCAGAAAACAGUGUAACACUGGUGUAAGGCCAGAAACCAGAUGGGGUUUUCUUCAAUCAAAACCUACGUGUCGGUUAAUUCAGUAUCUCAAACUUGUGAUCAAACUUGACUCAGUUGUCACCAUCACUGCUGCUCAAACACUACAUGUAGAACUAGUGACGCUUUUUACACAAAAAUGUCAAAUAUUUGCUACUUGAUGCUUCUCUUUUUUGUACCUGAUAAAAACUGGUUAUUGUGGUUUCUGACUGUUGAUCCGACAAAACGAGAAA
Xiphias gladius (swordfish) is the source of this 4385-nucleotide long non-coding RNA. RefSeq lists it as uncharacterized. The transcript has 3 exons. The record is from RefSeq and is a predicted model, not a curated record. NCBI's taxonomy places the organism in Eukaryota, Metazoa, Chordata, Actinopteri, Istiophoriformes, Xiphiidae.